GAGUUUGAUCGUGGCUCAGGACGAACGCUGGCGGCGUGCUUAACACAUGCAAGUCGAACGAGAAUCACUGGAAGGAGUUUUCGGACAACGGAAGGUGAGGACAGUGGCGGACGGGUGAGUAACGCGUGAGGAACCUGCCUUUCAGAGGGGGACAACAGUUGGAAACGACUGCUAAUACCGCAUGACACAUAGAGAUCGCAUGGUUUUUAUGUCAAAGAUUUAUCGCUGAAAGAUGGCCUCGCGUCUGAUUAGCUAGUUGGUGAGGUAACGGCCCACCAAGGCGACGAUCAGUAGCCGGACUGAGAGGUUGACCGGCCACAUUGGGACUGAGAUACGGCCCAGACUCCUACGGGGAGCAGCAGU
Molecule: ribosomal RNA, 363 nt
Filed under: uncultured bacterium
Lineage: Bacteria
Description: bacterial SSU rRNA
Rfam family: Bacterial small subunit ribosomal RNA
Source: RNAcentral